Triticum dicoccoides is the source of this 4069-nucleotide RNA transcript. RefSeq lists it as uncharacterized. The transcript has 4 exons. NCBI's taxonomy places the organism in Eukaryota, Viridiplantae, Streptophyta, Magnoliopsida, Poales, Poaceae. The record is from RefSeq and is a predicted model, not a curated record.
AGAGAGCGUUAACCGGAGGUCCGACGGAGCGGUGAGCCGUCGGCGGUAAACGGGAGGAAUGGCGGCGGCGGCGGCGUCCCAUCUGGACGGUGGCACGAAGCGGCGGCGGAAGGACGAGGAAGUAGAAGCAGGCGCGGAGGCGGCAGAGGACCGCAUCUCGGAGCUGCCGGAGGCGCUGCGGCUGCACGUCCUCUGCCUGCUCCCGCUCAAAUCCGCCAUCCGCACGGGCGCGCUCUCCACCCGGUGGCGCUCCCUCUGGACGCACCGCUGGCCGGCGCCCUCCUCCCUCGACUUCCGCCUCGGCAUCGGCGACUCCCCGCACCCGCUCCUCGAAACCCUAGAGCGGCGCGGGUGGCGGCGCCUCCAGCGGUUCGCCCUCUCCUUCGGCAUCGGCGCGUUCAAGGCCGAGCACUUCCGCCGCUGCCUCGACCUCGCCAUCGCCUGCGCCGUCGAGGACCUGCACGUCCACCGCGUGCACCACUUCUUCGCCCGCUUCUACAAGUUCCGGCUCCCGCUGGGUGACCCCCACCUCGCCCGCCUCUCGUUCCGCUACAUCAGCGUCGACCUCCCCGACUCCUUCUCCGCCCGCUCCCACCGCUUCACCGCUCUCGAGGUCAUCCACCUCCGCUGCGUCCACAUCUCCGACGACACAGUCAGCAGCCUGGUCGCCGCGUGCCCCCUCCUCCACACCCUCGAUUUGCGCUACUGCGAAGGCCUCGACUCCGUCAGCGUCGCGGCGGCCGGGGCGCACCUGAGUAGCCUCACCGUUGCAGAGUGCGAUCCGUGCACCGACGUUGUUUUGGCCGAUGAGGCAUCCGGUCUGCGCUCAUUCCGCUACAGCGGUGCCUACAUGCCCGCCUACAGCAUCCCGGCCACCAUCACUAGUCUUGCUGACCUUUACAUCUGCUUCGGAGCAUCUAACCGCCGGCGACGCUUGUCAGGCACCAGAAUCCGGUUUUAUGGACAGGAGGCUCACGCUUGCGAGCUGCGCAGAAACUGGCUUCAACUACUAACCAGUCUGUCCAACCUCACCGUGCUUACCCUCUGCAGCAGUAUCCUACGGAGACUGUCUGCCAAAGCUCGUGCCAGAUUAGCUGCCACAGGCGCUGCACCAUGCAAAUUGCUGAAUUUGAGAGAGCUUCAGCUACUGAUGUUCGAAGUGGAGAUCAACAACAUGAACGACAUUUACUCUUUCCUUGUGGCAUGCUGUGGCCCUCGUUUGGAGAGGCUAUUUGUGCAGCUUCCGACAAUCAAUUAUCCAUAUGAGCCAGAGGAUGAACCAUCAGGAUCAGAGUCAGAGGAAUUUGGAUCAAUGGGAGAGCUAUCAUACCAAGAGGCACAUGGGGAAGGUGAGCUGGAUGACGACUUGUCAGAAGGAGAAGCAACAGAGAAAGAUGGGCUAGAGGAACAGCUGUCAGAGGGAGAUGCCCUGGAGGAAGAUGAGAUAGAGGAAGAGUUGUCAGAGGGAGAAGAACUAGAGGAAGAGCUUUCAGAGGGAAAUGAACUAGUGGAAGAGUUGUCAGGGGGAGAGCCACCUGAGGAAAAGCAAUCACAGAAACAGGGGUCAAUGGAAGAGCAAUCUGAUGGAGGGCAAUCAGAGGAAGAGACACUAGAGCACGGCGAUGUCUUUGAGAACCUUAUGUUGCUCAAAAUGAUGAAUUUCAUGGGACGCGACAAUGAGAUGCAGCUAGUAAGCCUUGUGUUGAAGAAGGCUACUAGUCUCAAGCAACUGAUACUAUUUACUCCCAAGAUUAAUCACCCAGAAGAGCUCCACAAGGAUCAUAUGAAUACUUCCCAUUUGCUUGAAAGAAAACUAUUUUCUCUCAGAAGGGCCUCGCCAGAUGCUCAGAUAGUUCUCAGCGAGCCUGAUGAUAGUGCAGUCCAGCCGUUGCAUGAGGCUUUAGUCAAGAUUUACUGAUUUUUGUUGUUGUGGAGUUAUGAUCGGAUAAUGUGAAAUAUCAGAAACUAGCAACCAUUAGAGAAGAACAUAAACAUGUACAGUUAUAUGGAGUUUCAACAGGCAUCAAUCCUGGAAACUGUACCCUAAUGGUGUUAGCUGAGGCCAAAUUAUGUACUACCUAGAAUCAGAGGAAAAUGGGUCAAUGCAAGAGUUAUCAUAGGAAGAGGUACCGGAGGAAGAUGAGCUGGGUGAAGACUUGUCAGAAGGAGCAGAACUGGAGAAAGAUACGCUAGAGGAAGAGCGCAGAUGCUCUGGAGGAAGAUGAGCUAGAGGAAGAGCUGACAGAGGGAGAUGAACUAGAGGGAGCUGUCAGAGGGAAAUGAACUAGAGGAGUUGUCAGGGGGGGAGCCUCCUGAGGAAAAGCAAUUACAGAAACAGGGGUUAGAGGAACAGGGGUCAAUGGAAGAGCUAUUUGAUAGAGGGCAAUCAGAGGGAGAGACACUAGAGGAUCACGAUGGCUUUGAGAACUUUAUGUUGCUCAAUAUGAUGAAUUUCAUGGGGCGCAACAAUGAGAUGCAGCUGUAAGCCUUGUGGUGAAAAGGUCUACUAGUCUCAAGCAACUGACACUAUUUACUCUCAAGAUUAAUCACCUAGAAGAGCUCCAGAAGGAACAUACGAAUACUUGCCAUUUUCUUGAAAGAAAACACUAUGGUCUCUCAGAAAGGCCUCACCAAAUGCUCACAUAGUUCUCGGCGAGCCUGAUGAUAGUGCAAUCCAGCCGUUGCAAGAGGCUUUCGUCAAGAUUUACUGAUUUUUUGUUGUCGUGGAGUUAUGAUCGGAUAAUGUGAAAUAUCAGAAACUGGCAAUCAUUAGGUAAGACAAGGAACAAGCUAAUCUGCAAGGUAGGCGGGAUGCUAUGUUCUGCAGUCCAUGAAGGAUCAUGGAGUAUGUCGUCUGUGCCUUCUAUUUUGCGGGUUAACUCUUUAAGACUCUUAUAAAAAAUAUCAUGAUUACCCAGUGUCUACACUAGCCUGUUGCCUUGUUGGUGGACAAGAAAGUCUUACAAAAACAAUUUAGAAGGCUGAGACUUAUUGUGCUCUAUCUCUGCUGUUCAAUUUGCAUUUAGUACAGCAGUACUUUAAUCAGCUGGUACAACAACGAGUGGUGCAAUUUUAUCUAUUUUUCAGUUCUCCUUAUGUAUUACUGUCAGUAUUGCCCAUCUUCAUUGCCGAUUAAAAGUUAUUUUGCUGGUGCCAGUAGAAAAUCUAAAACAUGUACAGUAAUAUGGAAUUUCCACAGGCAUGAAUCCUGGGAACUGUACCCUAAUUUUGGUAGUUGGUGCCAAAUUAUGUACUGCUGAUAUGUUUGAUCAGAUGUUGACUUGUCUGUCACUUGUCUGAAUCUGAAAUUCUGAAUAUGUGUCACUUUCUACGUGUGCUCUACUGGAAACUCAGUUUAGCCUGCCACUUGUGUAAAAUCCUCGAACAUAUGACUGCAGGACAAGUUCUUUGUAGCAUGUCUUGUACUGUAAAUUCAGUUGAGCCUGUCACCGGUGUGACGGAAGAAUUUGUGGCUGGUGACAGCAUCAGGCCAUGUCAUGUUUGCCUACCUAUGUUGUGCGUCAGGCCAAGCGUCUCUAAAUAACCAUCAUUUGGUGCCUUGCUGGUGUGGUCAUCAUGUAUAAAUACGCAACAUAGUGGAGUUGUCGGUGUUGGUUGGUUGUGUGCUGUUGUGGGUCAGAGCCUGUGCACCAGAUCCAAAGGAAGUUACCAAGGCACCAGACCUUUACCCCUCAGAUUUUGCAAGAUAGGCUGGGUGUUCAGUUCUGUAAUUGACGAAGAUCUUUUUGAUCCAGUUUCUUAUUAAUCAACAUUGUUGCCUUAUUGGUGUUUUGCCUGGAACGAAGUGGUCAUAAUUCAGUGCAAUAGCUGGGGAACAAGGCCGUAUGAAUAUAGUGUAGUAGGUUGAGACUUGAGACUUGAGACUUGCUAUGCUUUUUUUUCUUUUUUUUUGUUGCUCUCAACAAUCUUCAUUUAGUACAGCAUUGCAGUGAUCAGCUGGAAGAUCAGCAACAGUUUACAGUGUUAUGUUUUCCCACUUUUUCCUUGUGCAUUGUCCUAGCAUCUUCAUUACUGCUUUUAAGAGUUUAUUACUCCCUUUUAGGCAUGA